AUGCAUGCUACGAAAUGCGCCCAUGGUUACCGCUAUAAAAUAAACUUCGCGAUAACCCCUUUCCCCUCCUCGCUUCCCCUCCUUAUCCCCUUUCGUCUCCCGCUCCCCCGGUCUCGCGCUGUACGGCGCGCCAUGGCCAUGCCCUCCACUUCUUACUUCUCGCGGCCGCCUAUCGUGCACCCCACCUCCAAAACUCCGAACCCUCCCCGACUGCUGCCGCUCGUCUCCGGGGCUGCUGCCCCUCGCCCGCUGCUGCCCUCCUUCGCUCCGCCCGCGCCCGGUCGCGGGCUCCGGACCGCCGCCGCCCAACAACCCGCCUACGAAAAUGGAGAGGAGGAAGAAGAUGGGGAGGAGGAUGAGGAGUAUUACAGCGAGGAGGAGGAUGAAGAGGAAUUGGACGUGGAGGCGAUGGAGGAAGAGGCGCGCCGCGCCGCCGCCGACCUCGCCGCGCACCUCGACCGCGAGCUCCGCCUCGAUGGUGAUGUUCGGGAGAAAAGAAGAACCAUGAGGGAUAAGACAUCAACAUCUAAACAUAUCCCAGACAGUAAGCUUCCAAAGGUGGCUGUUAUUGGUAGACCUAAUGUGGGUAAAUCUGCACUAUUCAAUCGGCUUGUCGGGGGCAACAGGGCUAUCGUUGUUGAUGAACCUGGUGUAACAAGGGAUCGUUUGUAUGGACGAUCUUAUUGGGGUGAUCAAGAGUUUAUGGUUAUUGAUACUGGGGGUGUGAUUACUCUAUCGAAGUCUCAAGCAGGUGUAAUGGAAGAACUUGCCAUUACAACUACUGUUGGUAUGGAUGGGAUUCCAAUGGCCUCUCGAGAAGCUGCUAUUGCUAGGAUGCCAUCAAUGAUUGAGAAGCAAGCUGUUGCUGCUGUUGAAGAAGCAGCUGUCCUUCUUUUCCUUGUGGAUGGUCAGGCUGGGCUUGUGGCAGCUGAUAUAGAAAUUGCUGAUUGGUUACGUCGCAACUUCUCACACAAGUGCAUCAUACUUGCUGUAAACAAGUGUGAAUCACCACGGAAAGGGCAAAUGCAAGCAUUAGAAUUUUGGUCAUUAGGGUUUACACCUUUACCAAUAUCUGCUAUUACCGGCACUGGAACUGGAGAGCUCCUGGAUAUGGUCUGUUCGGAGCUGAAAAAGUUCGAGGUACUAGAAGAAUUGGAUGAUGUUGAAGAAGACGAAAACCAUGUCCCUGCUAUUUCUAUUGUUGGAAGACCAAAUGUUGGGAAAAGUAGCAUUCUAAAUGCUUUGGUUGGAGAAGAUAGAACUAUUGUGAGCCCAGUUAGUGGUACCACCCGUGAUGCCAUUGAUACUGAGUUAACCAUAAAGGAUGGGCAGAAAUACAAACUCAUCGAUACGGCUGGCAUCCGACGGAGAGCAGCAGUUGCUUCUGCUGGCAGCACAACUGAAACACUUUCAGUAAAACGUGCAUUUAGUGCAAUUCGUCGAUCUGAUGUAGUUGCCCUUGUUAUUGAAGCGAUGGCCUGUGUCUCGGAGCAGGAUUAUAAAAUUGCAGAAAGGAUUGAGAAAGAGGGAAAGGCAUGUGUCAUUGUUGUGAACAAGUGGGAUACAAUCCCAAACAAGAACAAUGAGAGUACUACACAUUAUGAACAGGAUGUAAGAGAGAAGCUUCGUGUACUUGACUGGGCACCUAUUGUUUACUGUUCUGCGAUAAAUGGGAACAGCGUUGAGAAGAUUAUUUCUGCUGCUUCUUUGGUUGAAGAGGAAAGGUCUAGAAGACUUGGCACCUCUAUUCUUAACCAAGUGGUUAGAGAAGCUGUAGCAUUCAAAGCACCACCACGAACAAGAGGCGGCAAAAGAGGCCGUGUUUAUUACACAACACAGGCUGCUGUUCGUCCACCAACAUUUGUUCUCUUCGUCAAUGACGCAAAACUUUUCCCUGAGCCGUAUCGGCGGUACAUGCACAAGCAGCUCCGGUCUGAUGCUGGAUUCCCAGGCACGCCCAUUCGCCUACUGUGGCGUAGCAGGAAGCGGACUGAUAGGCAACAGAGGAGAUCAAAUACGGAAGCUCGCAGUGCGCUUGUAGCGUUGAGUUAG
RNAcentral lists this ribosomal RNA (2052 nucleotides) under Triticum aestivum (bread wheat). Its description in RNAcentral is "partial small subunit ribosomal RNA". Lineage: Eukaryota; Viridiplantae; Streptophyta; Magnoliopsida; Poales; Poaceae. The record is from RNAcentral.